AAGCAAACCAUUAAAUAAGAUAACUUAUUUCAAACAUGAAAAGAAUGGGCAUAACAACUUUUUCCAUCGAUCUAACAUAAUUAAAUCAAAUGGUAAAGUUAUUACUAUUAAACAGAUUUGGGUUCCAAAAGGAACCAUAUGUCCUAACUCUCAAGGACCCAAGAAAGCUUGGGUACCCAAAAUGAAAAAAUGAGAAUGUACACAUAGGUGUGCCAAGAUACCCAUGAAACAAAAGAAACUUAAAAAGUUAUUAACAAAAAUAAUAAUAAUGAAAUCAGUAAUCCUUGCAUCUCAUCAUUAUUUUUGCUUUAGUAUUUGAUUAAAAUAUGAAUUGC
RNAcentral lists this long non-coding RNA (335 nucleotides) under Phoenix dactylifera (date palm). RNAcentral's name for it is "long non-coding RNA (PDAC_LNC020543)". Lineage: Eukaryota; Viridiplantae; Streptophyta; Magnoliopsida; Arecales; Arecaceae. The record is from RNAcentral.